Molecule: ribosomal RNA, 466 nt
Filed under: Vreelandella stevensii
Lineage: Bacteria; Pseudomonadati; Pseudomonadota; Gammaproteobacteria; Oceanospirillales; Halomonadaceae
Description: partial 16S ribosomal RNA
Rfam family: Bacterial small subunit ribosomal RNA
Source: RNAcentral
CCUACGGGUGGCUGCAGUGGGGAAUAUUGGACAAUGGGCGAAAGCCUGAUCCAGCCAUGCCGCGUGUGUGAAGAAGGCCUUCGGGUUGUAAAGCACUUUCAGUGGGGAAGAAAGCCUUGGGGCUAAUACCCUCGAGGAAGGACAUCACCCACAGAAGAAGCACCGGCUAACUCCGGUGCCAGCAGCCGCGGUAAUACGGAGGGUGCGAGCGUUAAUCGGAAUUACUGGGCGUAAAGCGCGCGUAGGCGGUCUGAUAAGCCGGUUGUGAAAGCCCCGGGCUCAACCUGGGAACGGCAUCCGGAACUGUCAGGCUAGAGUGCAGGAGAGGGAGGUAGAAUUCCCGGUGUAGCGGUGAAAUGCGUAGAGAUCGGGAGGAAUACCAGUGGCGAAGGCGGCCUUCUGGACUGACACUGACGCUGAGGUGCGAAAGCGUGGGUAGCAAACAGGAUUAGAUACCCCGGUAGUC